This 346-nucleotide long non-coding RNA is filed under the name Monodelphis domestica (gray short-tailed opossum). RNAcentral describes it as "lncRNA (ENSMODG00000036890.1)". The record is from RNAcentral. Lineage: Eukaryota; Metazoa; Chordata; Mammalia; Didelphimorphia; Didelphidae.
AAGAAGCUCCUGUUCUAGAACUAUAGGAUGUAAGCAGAAGGACCUUCAUCUACUCCAACCAAUUGCUACGGAAUCCAAUUUGAACACAGUGACUGGCCAGCCAAGGAAAAGUACAAGGUAGCAAUGAGGUUGGGAAGUUAGCCUGCCAUCCCCAGUUGGACUACCUGUCCUGGAAAAGAGAAUUUUAACUUCUAGGGAAACUAAUCAGAUACCACACUGACUUUUUUAGAGGUGAAAGGGGGAAUGGGGCAGGGGAAUGAAAAAUAAUACAGCAGAACUGAUCUCAACUCAACCAAUGGGGUCGGGUUGUUAAUGUGGUUUCCAGCAAACUGCUCAUAAAAUUCAU